This 311-nucleotide long non-coding RNA is filed under the name Cyanistes caeruleus (blue tit). Its description in RNAcentral is "lncRNA (ENSCCEG00000018063.1)". Lineage: Eukaryota; Metazoa; Chordata; Aves; Passeriformes; Paridae. The record is from RNAcentral.
UUAUCACAGACAAAAUUAGGUCAGAAGAGAGCACAGAGGUACUGAACUGAAAAGAAAUAAAUUCAUCUUUAGAAGAAAAAAGGAAGUCUCAAACUGCAAACUUGGGUUUAAUUUGUCUCCUCCAUGUAAGGCCUCAAAUCAAACUGCUGCCACCUGCUCCUUGCCUCAUUGUCUGCCCUGCCUGUGUUACUGCUGUCAAGGGUCACCAAGUUGACCAGAGGGAUGCAGCACCUCUCCUAUGCAGAAAUGACUUCAUCAACAACUUUGCAAAGUUUGAUGGCAAACAUAUCAAGUUUCCUCAGAAAAUGUGA